This 515-nucleotide ribosomal RNA is filed under the name uncultured bacterium. RNAcentral describes it as "partial 16S ribosomal RNA". It matches the Rfam family "Bacterial small subunit ribosomal RNA", at positions 355 to 861 of the family's 1533-position model. The record is from RNAcentral.
UGGGGAAUUUUGGACAAUGGGCGAAAGCCUGAUCCAGCAAUGCCGCGUGUGUGAAGAAGGCCUUCGGGUUGUAAAGCACUUUUGUCCGGAAAGAAAUCCUUGGCUCUAAUACAGUCGGGGGAUGACGGUACCGGAAGAAUAAGCACCGGCUAACUACGUGCCAGCAGCCGCGGUAAUACGUAGGGUGCAAGCGUUAAUCGGAAUUACUGGGCGUAAAGCGUGCGCAGGCGGUUUGCUAAGACCGAUGUGAAAUCCCCGGGCUCAACCUGGGAACUGCAUUGGUGACUGGCAGGCUAGAGUAUGGCAGAGGGGGGUUAGAAUUCCACGUGUAGCAGUGAAAUGCGUAGAGAUGUGGAGGAAUACCGAUGGCGAAGGCAGCCCCCUGGGCCAAUACUGACGCUCAUGCACGAAAGCGUGGGGAGCAAACAGGAUUAGAUACCCUGGUAGUCCACGCCCUAAACGAUGUCAACUAGUUGUUGGGGACUUCAUUUCCUUAGUAACGUAGCUAACGCGUG